GAUGAACGCUGGCGGCGUGCCUAAUACAUGCAAGUCGAGCGAACGGACGAGAAGCUUGCUUCUCUGAUGUUAGCGGCGGACGGGUGAGUAACACGUGGAUAACCUACCUAUAAGACUGGGAUAACUUCGGGAAACCGUAGCUAAUACCGGAUAAUAUUUUGAACCGCAUGGUUCAAAAGUGAAAGACGGUCUUGCUGUCACUUAUAGAUGGAUCCGGGCUGCAUUGGCUAGUUGGUAAGUUAACGGCUUACCAAGGCAACGAUGCAUAGCCGACCUGAGAGGGGGGUCGGCCACACGAGAACUUAGACAGGGUCCAGACUCCUACGGGAGGCAGCAGUAGGGAAUCUUCCGCAAUGGGCGAAAGCCUGACGGAGCAACGCCGCGUGAGUGAUGAAGGUCUUCGGAUCGUAAAACUCUGUUAUUAGGGAAGAACAUAUGUGUAAGGAACUGUGCACAUCUUGACGGUACCUAAUCAGAAAGCCACGGCUAACUACGUG
RNAcentral lists this ribosomal RNA (497 nucleotides) under uncultured bacterium. RNAcentral's name for it is "partial 16S ribosomal RNA". It matches the Rfam family "Bacterial small subunit ribosomal RNA", at positions 28 to 507 of the family's 1533-position model. The record is from RNAcentral.